CAUACGGUGGGUGGGGAGCACAUGGAGGUGGCGCUUUCUCUGGGAAAGACUCGUCUAAGGUAUCGUAUCGACUACCGGUAUAUCAACAGUCGAUUAAUAAUUGAUUAAUCAUAUUGAAUCAUAACAUGCUGCAACUGUUUGUCCCUUUAAUGAAUUCUACGAUGGUCAUUUUAAGUCCCAGCCAUGCACUUUCAAGACACGUUUACAUUUAUAGAAAUUGUAGUAAAUUUAGAGUAAAAUUGUAUGUUGACCCGAAACAAUAAUUAGAGGUUACCUACACCAAAUAAUAGCCAAAGUUCAAUUUUGCUCAUGCAUUUUGUAAAUUUUUCAAUCUGGUGUCUCGUUAUAUAAGUGGAAUUUGAUAGCGAGUAUGAGUGUGGGUAUAAUAUGCAAGAGAUGCCAAUAUGACGUAUAUAUUACAUGCAUAACGCUGUGUGUUUCAGGUGGACCGCUCAGGAGCCUAUGCUGCAAGAUGGGCGGCGAAGUCUCUUGUAGCAGCAAAACUUUGCAAACGUUGUCUUAUCCAAGUUUCGUACGCCAUUGGUAUUGCAGAGCCUCUGUCAAUCUCUGUGUUCUCGUAUGGUAGUGGGGAAAAAAGUGAUGAGGAAUUAUUAGAAAUUGUGAAAAAGAAUUUCGAUUUUAGGCCUGGCAUUGUGGUUAG
This is a non-coding RNA of Paramuricea clavata, 661 nucleotides long. Lineage: Eukaryota; Metazoa; Cnidaria; Anthozoa; Malacalcyonacea; Plexauridae. The record is from the annotation of a GenBank genome assembly.